CAAGCCUUCUGAUAUGGUCUACCACAGCAUUCUUGCAAACAAGAAGAAGAGAGUCUGAGCUGGAGAAGAGAUUCAGGGAAUGAUGAAGUCUAACUAGCACUACGUGGGAUCCUGGCAAAUGCAGCUUCAAAGAAACCUUGGGAGCCCUGAAAAUCCCAACUCCGUGAUUGUCUGGUGGCAAGGACCUUGAAAGUCCAUAUGCUGCUACAGAGUUGGCAAUCUGAAAGAUGUGGGAGCUCAGACUAACCUAGAGUUAAGAGACUGGAAGCCUCGACCCCAAAGCCUCCCUCCAGGAGGAUUGGUAUACUGCUGGGACAGGGAAUUGGCAAGUUUUAUCAAAACUGUUUCUUUUUUUCUCCUGAUUUGUGCCUCUUGAGUCAACAAAUUAGAGCUCACACCACAAUACGGAACAGUGCUUGCUCCUGUGAAUUGUGACUCUGAAGCUUUGUUGAUUAUUGUGUUUCUUGGUGCAGUACCUACUGAAUAUUUUGCUGGUGCACAACACAGAAAUUUGGAAUGGAAAUCUUCAGUGAAAUUUCAGUUUUACUGUAUUUUAUUUUGGGAGUGGAUCUGAUGUUGAUGCACAGCAUUCCCCAAUAGAAAAAAAUUGCACUCAAAGACUUCCAAGCAGCAAUAAUAUGUAUUCUGUAAGCCUCUGACCAUAGAACUCAGGCUUGUACUCCACAAACACAACUUGCAUUUUCUU
Molecule: long non-coding RNA, 706 nt
Organism: Gavialis gangeticus (Gharial)
Lineage: Eukaryota; Metazoa; Chordata; Crocodylia; Gavialidae
Exons: 3
Source: RefSeq, a predicted model, not a curated record